This 514-nucleotide ribosomal RNA is filed under the name uncultured bacterium. RNAcentral's name for it is "bacterial SSU rRNA". It matches the Rfam family "Bacterial small subunit ribosomal RNA", at positions 28 to 535 of the family's 1533-position model. The record is from RNAcentral.
GAUGAACGCUAGCGGGAGGCUUAACACAUGCAAGUCGAGGGGCAGCACGAGAUAGCAAUAUUUUGGUGGCGACCGGCGCACGGGUGAGUAACACGUAUGCAACCUACCUCGUACAGGGGGAUAACCCGGAGAAAUUCGGACUAAUAUCCCAUAAUAAUAUUGAAAGGCAUCUUUUAAUAUUUAAAGCUCAGGCGGUACGGGAUGGGCAUGCGGAACAUUAGCUAGUUGGUAGGGUAACGGCCUACCAAGGCUGCGAUGUUUAGGGGACCUGAGAGGGUUAUCCCCCACACUGGUACUGAGACACGGACCAGACUCCUACGGGAGGCAGCAGUGAGGAAUAUUGGUCAAUGGGCGCAAGCCUGAACCAGCCAUCCCGCGUGAAGGAAGAAGGCGCUAUGCGUCGUAAACUUCUUUUCCAGGGGGAGAAUUUUCCGGUCGUGACCGGAAUUGACGGUACUCUGGGAAUAAGCAUCGGCUAACUCCGUGCCAGCAGCCGCGGUAAUAGUGUGUGUAC